AGCAGCCGCGGUAAUUCCAGCUCCAAUAGCGUAUAUUAAAGUUGUUGCAGUUAAAAAGCUCGUAGUUGAAUUUCGGGACCAAUAUGUCGGUCGUGCUUCGGUACGUACUUGCAUUAUUGGUUUCUCCCUUCUGAAGAACCAUGAUGUCAUUAAUUUGGUGUCUUGGGGAAUCAGGACUGUUACUUUGAAAAAAUUAGAGUGUUUAAAGCAGGCUCACGCUUGAAUACAUUAGCAUGGAAUAAUGAAAUAGGACGUUUGAUUCUAUUUUGUUGGUUUCUAGGAUCGACGUAAUGAUUAAUAGGGAUAGUUGGGGGCAUUAGUAUUCAAUUGUCAGAGGUGAAAUUCUUGGAUUUAUUGAAGACUAACUACUGCGAAAGCAUUUGCCAAGGAUGUUUUCAUUAAUCAAGAACGAAAGUUAGGGGAUCGAAGACGAUCAGAUACCGUCGUAGUCUUAACCAUAAACUAUGCCGACUAGGGAUCGGAUGAUGUUAAUUUUUUAAUGACUCAUUCGGCGCCUUAA
RNAcentral lists this ribosomal RNA (520 nucleotides) under uncultured Glomus. RNAcentral describes it as "SSU rRNA". It matches the Rfam family "Eukaryotic small subunit ribosomal RNA", at positions 569 to 1091 of the family's 1831-position model. The record is from RNAcentral. Lineage: Eukaryota; Fungi; Glomeromycota; Glomeromycetes; Glomerales; Glomeraceae.